Molecule: ribosomal RNA, 421 nt
Filed under: uncultured bacterium
Lineage: Bacteria
Description: partial 16S ribosomal RNA
Rfam family: Bacterial small subunit ribosomal RNA
Source: RNAcentral
AAUAUUGGACAAUGUGUGAAAGGCUGAUCUAGUCUUGCCGUGAUAUUGCAGAAUGUCUUCGGUUUGUAAAGCACUUUAAGUUGGGAGGAAGGGUUGUAGAUUAAUACUCUGAAAUAUUGACGUUACCAACAGAAUAAGCAUCUGCUAACUUCGAGCCUGCAGCCGCGGUAAUACGAAGGGUGCAAGCGUUAACCGGAAUUACAGGGCGUAAAGCGCGCGUAAGUGGUUUGUCAAGUUGGAAGUGAAAGCCCCGGGCUCAACCUGGGAACUGCUUUCAAAACUGGCAAGCUAGAGUAUGGCAGAGGGUGGUGGAAUUUCCUGUGUAGCGGUGAAAUGCGUAGAUAUAGGAAGGAACAUCAGUGGCGAAGGCGACCACCUGGACUGAUACUGACACUGAGGUGCGAAAGCGUGGGGAGCAAAC